This 533-nucleotide transfer RNA is filed under the name Bradyrhizobium sp. RNAcentral's name for it is "partial 16S-23S ribosomal RNA intergenic spacer". The stretch from base 10 to 83 matches the Rfam family "tRNA". The record is from RNAcentral. Lineage: Bacteria; Pseudomonadati; Pseudomonadota; Alphaproteobacteria; Hyphomicrobiales; Nitrobacteraceae.
AUGCGUUAGGGGCUUGUAGCUCAGUUGGUUAGAGCGCGCGCUUGAUAAGCGUGAGGUCGGAAGUUCAAGUCUUCCCAGGCCCACCUGGUUACGGGGCCAUAGCUCAGCUGGGAGAGCGCGUGCUUUGCAAGCAUGAGGUCGUCGGUUCGAUCCCGUCUGGCUCCACCAGCGUCCGCGAAACAUCACUUCGCACCUGCUAGUCUGGAUAGACAGCAGAUUGCGUGAUUUCUGACAUCGUAAAGAGGAGAUCGAUCCGAGUUGGAUCGUGCAGCAAGCAAUUGCUACGCGAGACUUCAUUAUCUCCGGAUCAUUUCGGCGCUCGCGCGUCCUUCAAGGUCAAACUUGGAAGGCGGGCGAGUUGUAAAUGAUCCUUUUAGCGAAGCUUGACCGCCUCGCUAUCGGAACGAUCUUACGAAGCAAGCUGGUCUUUCUAGUCAAUGUCCGGCUGCAGAUAGCGUUCAUCGAGGGCGCGUGCCGCAAGGUAGUUCUGCAGACAACAUUCUGCCGAGUGUGUGGACAUUGAUAAUGAGAGC